CUCUGCUCAGGACGAACGCUGGCGGCGUGCCUAAUACAUGCAAGUCGAACGAACUCUGGUAUUGAUUGGUGCUUGCAUCAUGAUUUACAUUUGAGUGAGUGGCGAACUGGUGAGUAACACGUGGGAAACCUGCCCAGAAGCGGGGGAUAACACCUGGAAACAGAUGCUAAUACCGCAUAACAACUUGGACCGCAUGGUCCGAGCUUGAAAGAUGGCUUCGGCUAUCACUUUUGGAUGGUCCCGCGGCGUAUUAGCUAGAUGGUGGGGUAACGGCUCACCAUGGCAAUGAUACGUAGCCGACCUGAGAGGGCAAUCGGCCACAUUGGGACUGAGACACGGCCCAAACUCCUACGGGAGGCAGCAGUAGGGAAUCUUCCACAAUGGACGAAAGUCUGAUGGAGCAACGCCGCGUGAGUGAAGAAGGGUUUCGGCUCGUAAAACUCUGUUGUUAAAGAAGAACAUAUCUGAGAGUAACUGUUCAGGUAUUGACGGUAUUUAACCAGAAAGCCACGGCUAACUACGUGCCAGCAGCCGCGGUAAUACGUAGGUGGCAAGCGUUGUCCGGAUUUAUUGGGCGUAAAGCGAGCGCAGGCGGUUUUUUAAGUCUGAUGUGAAAGCCUUCGGCUCAACCGAAGAAGUGCAUCGGAAACUGGGAAACUUGAGUGCAGAAGAGGACAGUGGAACUCCAUGUGUAGCGGUGAAAUGCGUAGAUAUAUGGAAGAACACCAGUGGCGAAGGCGGCUGUCUGGUCUGUAACUGACGCUGAGGCUCGAAAGUAUGGGUAGCAAACAGGAUUAGAUACCCUGGUAGUCCAUACCGUAAACGAUGAAUGCUAAGUGUUGGAGGGUUUCCGCCCUUCAGUGCUGCAGCUAACGCAUUAAGCAU
Molecule: ribosomal RNA, 885 nt
Filed under: Lactiplantibacillus plantarum
Lineage: Bacteria; Bacillati; Bacillota; Bacilli; Lactobacillales; Lactobacillaceae
Description: bacterial SSU rRNA
Rfam family: Bacterial small subunit ribosomal RNA
Source: RNAcentral